AGCUCCAAUAGCGUAUAUUAAUGUUGUUGCAGUUAAAAAGCUCGUAGUUGGACUUCUGGUGGGAGCGAUCAGUCUCGCGCUCUGUCGUGAGUACUUGAAUUGUCUCCGGCCAUCCUAGUGGAGAGCCAGUCUGGCAUUAGGUUGUCGGGCUGGGGAUCUGCUUCGUUUACUGUGAAAAAAUUAGAGUGUUCAAAGCAGGCUUAUGCCGUUGAAUAUAUUAGCAUGGAAUAAUAAGAUAGGACCUUGGUACUAUUUUGUUGGUUUGUGUGUCGAGGUAAUGAUUAAUAGGGACAGUUGGGGGUAUUUGUAUUGCAUUGUCAGAGGUGAAAUUCUUGGAUUUCUGCAAGACAAACUACUGCGAAAGCAUUUACCAAGGAUGUUUUCAUUA
RNAcentral lists this ribosomal RNA (388 nucleotides) under Porosira sp. RNAcentral describes it as "partial small subunit ribosomal RNA". It matches the Rfam family "Eukaryotic small subunit ribosomal RNA", at positions 587 to 975 of the family's 1831-position model. Lineage: Eukaryota; Bacillariophyta; Thalassiosirophyceae; Thalassiosirales; Thalassiosiraceae. The record is from RNAcentral.